Molecule: long non-coding RNA, 448 nt
Organism: Hypomesus transpacificus
Lineage: Eukaryota; Metazoa; Chordata; Actinopteri; Osmeriformes; Osmeridae
Exons: 3
Source: RefSeq, a predicted model, not a curated record
CUACCGCCUCCUUCCUCUUCUUCAGCGCAGCCUGUGUUGCCUCAGACUUCCACUCAGUCUGCAGGCCGGCCCGUUCCCAGGCCUCCUCAGUCACCUGCCACACAGUCAGGAGCCACUGACAUCCAUGAGGACGUGCUCGUGUUGGCCGCCGCGGAGAUGGACUUGGAAGCUCCUACCCCUUCUCUGCCUCCGCCACUGCAGUUGGCACCUCCCCCUCACAACGUCGUCCGUUGAUUGCUGGAGGGUAAGCGGUCCCAGCUGGAGGUGGAGCAGGGGGUGUACACAAACACCAUCCGGAAGGUCUUAGACAUCGAUGCCUGGUAUCUCAUGGCCACUGAGUACCUGGCAUGCUCUCGGUGUAUGAAGAGGGUUGUGGCAUGGUCACAGGGCAUAGUGAGGCAGCUGGAUGCAGCCCACCGCUGCUUAUUUCCAGCCAUCCUCACUUACA